Molecule: ribosomal RNA, 409 nt
Filed under: Fusarium lateritium
Lineage: Eukaryota; Fungi; Ascomycota; Sordariomycetes; Hypocreales; Nectriaceae
Description: eukaryotic LSU rRNA
Rfam family: 5.8S ribosomal RNA (bases 38-191)
Source: RNAcentral
CGUAGGUGAACCUGCGGAUCGCAUAUCAAUAAGCGGAAGAUGUCUCCAAAGGAGCGCUUGAUGCUGGCCUCGAUGAAGAACGCAGCAAAAUGCCAUAAGUAAUGUGAAUUGCAGAAUUCAGUGAAUCAUCGAAUCUUUGAACGCACAUUGCGCCCGCUGGUAUUCCGGCGGGCAUGCCUGUUCGAGCGUCAUUUCAACCCUCAAGCCCCCGGGUUUGGUGUUGGGGAUCGGCUCUGCCUCACGGCGGUGCCGCCCCCGAAAUACAUUGGCGGUCUCGCUGCAGCCUCCAUUGCGUAGUAGCUAACACCUCGCAACUGGAACGCGGCGCGGCCAUGCCGUAAAACCCCAACUUCUGAAUGUUGACCUCGGAUCAGGUAGGAAUACCCGCUGAACUUAAGCAUAUCAAUAG